AUAUUUUAGAAUUCGGUGACCUUCAAUGAUGUGCAUGUGAAAUUCAGCCAAGAAGAGUGGGCCUUGCUGGAACCUUCCCAGAAGCAACUCUACAAAGAUGUGAUGCUAGAGACCUGUGAAAACCUCACUGCUAUAGACUACAAUUGGGAUGACCAUAAUAUUGAAGAAUAAUUUCAAAGUUCUACAAGUAAUGAAAGAGUUGCACACCCUGAACCUGACUGUCCACCUCAUCAUGGGAAUGAGAAUUUCCACAGAGGAGCCGUGUCUACACAGUCUGACUGACCGACCAGAACUGGAGUGAUGUGGAGACAUUGGUGUAUCCAGAGUCUGAUAACAAUUUGUCUUGGGCCAUCUUUAGACCCUGUUGGCCAUUCCUUGCCAGCCAUUUUUUUCUUGGACCUAGUGUCCUAGAAUUGAUGAAUACUUCUAUGAUCGUGCUAACUACAACACAAGCUUCUGCCAAACCUGAUGUUAAGAAUUUCACCUGAUGGCAUUGGAGGCCCAUAUCUGAGUUUUCUAUGCUUUGCCAUAACCUGUGUUUCUAUGAUCUAACUGAAGAACAUUUAUUGCUGUUCUGCUAGUAGAAAUACUUGACAGGACUGCCUCCACAUUGGAACGUGGAAUUUGGUGUGACCUGAAUCUAUGUUCCCAGGCCAUGGCAAUUGUCAUAUUCAACAAGGAUACAACUCCUGCUUUCUACUGUGUCUUGGGAUACCCAGCCAUCCCAUCACUUAGGAGUGUCUACUGUGAAUUUUCUGGCUAGAGAUUUCCUAACUGAUUUACAGAAGCCAGCCUCCCAACACCCAGCAUGCUGGUGUUUUGCAGUAUAUUGGCCACUUUCUUGACUGACCCCCAUAGCACCAGGGCAAGGUCACAGGAGCUGCAGAGCAUCACUGGAACCCAGAAAUUUCAGUGACUACCUUCUAGACUUAGGGUCAAUAUCAUGAGAGGAUUUCAACCAAUAUGCCCCAAAACUGAGGACCAGAUCAUGGAUGCCUUUUAUAGUUCAGGGCUACAGAGAUGUCUUGGGGGUUAAGAACACUUGUUCUUUCAAAGGACCAAGUCUGUUCACACCUGGUAGCUCACCCUAUCUGUAACUCCAAUUCCAGGGGAUUCAGCUCCUUCUUCUGGCCUCUUCAGGCACCAGGCAUCCACAUGGUACACAGGUACAGCUAUUCAUGUAGGCAAAACACUCAUCACAUAAACAUAAACAAAUAGAUGAGUUUUACACUACUUAGGAGAGGGGGAAAGAGCACAACCAUCUGUAAGUAAAGCUAGUUUAUUGCCCCACAGCCCCAGCUAAAUUUACAUAAUCCCAGUUUAAAUGUGUCCAGUAUAAAUUCUCCUGUUCAGCCAGAGCUCAGCCAGUCCCUGCUCACUGACAAAGGAAUCCUGGGGUCCCUGGCCCCCUUUCUUUUAGUGAGUGCCAACUCUCCCAGUCAAAACAGGCCUGAUCUCGGGAAGGUAAACAGAGAUUAUAAAUCAUUUUUAAGGAUUAUAACAAAAAGCCAGCUGUGGUGUCACAUGCCUGUGAUCCUCAGUGGGGCAAGAAGAGGUGUGAGUUCCAGGUCAUCUGGGUUUACAAAGUGAGUCCAGGAUAUACAAGGCCACAGAGGGAAACCCUGUCUCCAAAAACAAGAGCUUGUGACCCCUCCCAGCUCUUCACACUCACAACUCUGUGUUCUAAGUCACACAGUGUGAUUUCACCCAGGCUAUAGAAAAGUUCUGCCAAACACGUUGGCACACACUUUUAAUCCUAGCACUUAGGAGGCUGUGACUUUGAGGCCAGCCAGGUCUACAGAGAAAGUCCAAGACAGCCAAUGUUACACAGAGAAACCCUGUCUCAAAAACCCAUAAUAAUAAUAAUAAUAAUAAUAAUAAUAAUAUUGAAAUAAAAAAAUUCAAAGCCAGGCCUGCUGGCAUAUUGCCAGGUAGGUUCCUUUCACAAGGAAGGCACACAGUAGAGUUUAUAGAAAAAAAAAGCAGAUGGAAGAAAGAUUUGAACCUUCAUUUUAUCUCAUUUUUUAAUCUCCAUUUCAAGAAAUUCUUAGUGUGUUUAAAAGCCCAAAGACUUGAAAAUCAGUGGGUAUUGUUUUAAAGUUUAAAGCAAAAGCGUGAAGGAAGGCUAGGUAGCUGGAGACGCGUCCAGCCACCUUCAGGGAAGAAUUAGCCUUAAUGACCUGAGGGCACAAAUUAGCCUUACUGCAUUCUUUCCUGCCCACUAAUUAUACAGUUGCUAGGAAACUGGCCCAUAGGACCAGGCCAGAACAGUUUGUAGUCUUGGUGCCUAAAGUGGACCAAUCAUUUCAAAAGUCAAUUCUCCUUACCCAAUCAUGUAAUGCCAAACCAUGUAAGUCCCUGCUUUCAGUUUUGCCCCAUAAAAACCUUGCUUUCCUAUAUCUCAGGGCUACAUUCCUCUCCUGAGUCCACAGGAAGUUUGUGUCCAAUGUCUGAACACGUAUACAAUUUUAAAAACCUCAUAUAUUUACAGCAGAGUGUAUCCCUGGUCUUUUGGGGUUCCCAAACUGGGCAUAAAAGUUUCACUCUGAAUAAGGCCAUUAGUAAUUUAUAAACAUCUCCCAAUGACAAUAAAUACUUGUAGCCACAGGGGAAAAACAAACAAACAAACGAAAACCUACCCAAUCCCCCUUAAGGAAAAUAGGACAUCAUUCUCAUUGAUUUCUUCUAGAUGACAUUUUGGACAUGCAGAAAUCCUGUUGGGGGCCCAAAGAAAAUUGGAAAAAAUGUUUAAUUAAGCAAGCAAUAUUUGUGAUCCAGUCUUUAAAUGAACAUAAUAAGAGUUAAUAAAAGUCCUGUUUAAAACAGUCUAAAAUGUGGGACCAAUUAAGAUUUGCAGCUUUCUUCAAAGCUCUCUUGGGAACAGGUCAUGAUGAGAAACAGUAAUUGAAGGAGUUGAGGCAGGAACAAGCAGAAUUCUGGAACAUGCAAGAUACUGAAACAGAUGUGUUAAUGUCUCAGCAUGCUGGAAGGAGGAUUCUGUCAGGUUUGGUACAGCAUCUCCAGUAUUCACUCCUUUUGUUCUGAAAACAUAUAAUUUCUCACAAGCAUUACACAGUAAUAAAAUUAUAAAUAUAUGAGAUGUUCAGAUUAAAAUUAAACUGUGAACCAAUUUCAUCAAUGUCAAUUAAAAGAAUGGCAUAAUCAAUUUUGAGGAUAUCAUAGCCAAGGAUUUAUUGGCCAUGUACUGCUGAAGUUCUGGUUAGAGACUUUUUUUUUUAUGUCUCAGUCAGUUUUAGAGAUGUUCCCAUGUGGUAAUAUAAUAUCAAAUUAUAUUACCUGUUCUGUUUGGUCUUCUUGAUUUCUCUCUUCUAGUGUGUGGCCAAGGUCUUCAGGUGGUCAUCCUCUGUGAUAUCUGAUUUUUAUUAGUUUUGAAGGAACCUAUAAUUUAUCUUCUCCUGUAUGAACAUAUGCAAAACCUCUUCCCCAGUGUAACACAUUCCCUACUGUCCAUUGUGAAGUUAGGGUAUCUUUAAAAUAUAUAGGCUGAAAUAAUUCAGUAGUUUUUUCUAUAACCCAGUGUCUCUGUGCAGCUGCUGAUUGCUGUUCAUUAACAUUUAAUAUAUUAAAGGUCAAUAAAUCAUUAUGUAAUCUAUCUCUGGGGGUGGGUAAUAACCUUCUCUGUUAAGCAUGUCCCUUAAAGUAUGAUUCAAUUUUUCAGUGACUGCUUGACUGGCAGAAUUGUGAGGUAUACCUGUAACAUGUUUUAUCUUAAAAUAUGUAAAAAAAAUCUUUCCAUUUUAUUAGAGACAUAUAAUGUAGUAUUAUCAGUCUUAAUUUGUGUAGGAAUAACCAUAACUUCCAUCACCUCUAAUAAAUACAUAAUAACUGAAUCAGCCUUCUCAGAACUUAUGGCUUUUGCUCAUUAGAACCCUGAACAUGUGUCUAUAGUAUGGUGCACAUAUUUCAGCUUACCAAACUCUAUAAAAUAAAACACAUGAUUUACCAAAUUUCAUUUCUUUAAAUAAAGAUAGGGUUACUUCCUGCAGUUAGUGAAGUUUAGUUAUAUAAUGAACAAGUGGGACAUUUUCACACAAUUUCUUUGGCUUGUUGCCAAGUGAUAGAAAACUCUCUUUUGAAACCUUUGCUGUUAACAUGGUGUUUUCAUGAAAUUCUGAGGCCUCUAACACGCUUCCUAUCAAUAGUUGAUCAAUUUCAUCAUUGUCUUGUGCGAGAGGGCCUUGUGGACCCAUAUCAGAUCUGAUCUACGUUAUAUACAGUGUAUUAUUUCUAUUUCUGAUUACUCGUUUUAAUUGAAGAAACAGUGACGUUAAAUCCAAAUUAUCCUGAAUUAGCUCAGCAGUUUCUAUGUGCAGAAAAACUCUUUCUGCAUAUUGUGAGUCAGUGACUAUAUUAAGAGAUUCUUGAAAAUUUGAUAACACCAAGAGAAUUGUAUAUAAUUUUGAUUUUUGAACUGAAUCAUAAGGAUUCAGUUUUUAAGUUUUUAUUUUGUUUGUGUGCCAAAAAUAUCCAUUCUAAUGAGUGAAAAGCAAGAUAACCAAAAUACAGGCCCUCUUUGGAUCAAUAUGGUCUAUAUAUGCAUCUGUAAUUUCCUUUCUACCAGAGCCAAUUCAUUUUCAUCUUCAGUUGAUAACUUUCUUGGACUUCUAAAAUCCUUAUCAUCCUGUAAGGUUUGAAAUAAGUUACUUAGCUCUUGAGUAGCUAAACCGAAGGUAGGCUAUAGCCAGUUAAUAUCUCACAGCAAUUUUUGAAAAUCAUUAAGAGUUUUUAAUUGGGUUCUUCUAAUUUGCACUUUUUUGUGGUCAAGUUUUCUGUAGACCUAUUUUGUAUCCUAGGUAAUAGAAUCUCUUCUUUGUAAUCUUUCAGAAGCAAUCUCUAAACCCCAACAAGACAAAGUUCUGUUUAUAUCAUCAAAAAUAUUUUCUAAUGUUUUUGUAUCUGAAUCAGCUAAUAAGAUAGCAUCUAUAUACUGAUAAAUUAUGGAUUGAGGAAACUGCUUACGAAUUACCGCCAACGGUUGUUGUACAAAAUAUUGGCACAAAGUAGGACUGUUCAACAUCCCCUGUGGUAAGACCCGAGUGAUAUCUCUUUAUUGGACAGCUUCUAUUCAAAGUGGGUCCUGAGAAAGCAAACCUUUCCCUAUCAUGCUCCUGUAAAGGAAUUGUGAAAAAGCAAUCCUUUAAAUCAAUCACUAUAACAGGCCAUUCCUUAGGUAACAAGGAAGGCAAUGGGAUUCUGGAUUGUAACGAUCUCAUUGGCUGAAUAAUUUUGUUAACGGCUCUGAGAUCUGUUAACAUCCUCCAUUGGCCAGAUUUCUUUUUGAUGACAAAUACAGGAGAAUUCCAAGGGCUGUUGGACUCCUCUAUAUGCUGAGCCUCCAGCUGUUCCAGGACUAACUGUUCUAAGUAAUUUUUCUUUACUCAUAGACCAUUGUUCAAUCCAAAUAGGUUGGUCAGCCAACUACCUUGAUAAGGUUCUGGGGGUUUUAUUAGCAGUGGCUUCCCAACAGGCAGUUGAAAAGAAUGCCUCUGUUGUAUAUUGUUUAUGGACAGCCUGGACAAUCUGAAACUGUUUUUGAUGACAUUUAAAAAAAAAAUUAGCUUCUUUUUCAGUAGUAUUACCUGUUUUUUUGGCUUGUCUCAGAACUUGGGGGGAUGUUAAUCUGGGUCUUCCAUUGUUGUAACAUAUCUCUUCUCCAUAAGCUUAUGGCUAUCUCAGCCACAUAUAGUCUUAGUUUUCUUAUUUGACCUUCUGAUCCUGUACACUUAAGGCAUCUAACACUUUGUAUCACUUUAGAUAAAGUUUCAGCUCUUUGGAAUUGAAUAUCCACCUCAGGUCUAGCACUUCCACAGGGUGCCAUUCAACCUCAUGGUAAUCCUAUGAGUGAUCAUCUUCUGCUGGUCUCUGUUGUACACUGACUAAAUAAGCUAACAUUUGUUUUCUAACCACCUUUGUUGGGCUUUCUUUUUUAUUAUGUUUUGCGUCUGCCUGAGUAUUUUCUUUACUUAGUAUUCUAAACUCUUCUUUUAAGGUCAGUACCCAUAUUUCACACCUAUCUCUCUGUUGUUUGUUUUGUUCAAUAAUCUCUUGAAUGUCUUCUUUUAUGCCUUGCUUCUAACUUUUAAUUUUUUCUUUAUAUUGUUCUAGUUGUUCUUUUUGUUUUCCAGUAUCUUUUCUAAAACCUAUGCCCUCUUUUCUUGUUGUUUAUCAUAUUCUGUAAGUUUUUGUAUCUCAUUUUAUGUCCUGUUUCCAAACUUCAUUUUUUCUUCAUAUUGUUCUACUUGUUCUUUGUGUUGUUCCACUAUCUCUUCUAAAGGCUUUGCCUUUGAGAAGACAUAAAAGGCUAAGUCAAUUAUAAAAGUUAAAUUGAGGACUAUGAAUGUAACCAUAGUCAUAAUUUCUAAACUUUCCUUUAUUUCUGUCUUAAAACCAUAGAAGAGAUUAUCAGCCAAGCUCUGAGAAGUCUUUUUUAAUGUUUCUCUCAUCCUGUUAGAAUGUAGUGGCAGCCAGUUUUGUUCAGUCUCAGUUCUGCCCAAAGUAGGCUGUCUUUUGUUCUGAGGCAUGUUUAAGAGUCUCUUUUAAAGAGCCAGUAAUUUAUCUGGGACCUUUUAGGUUUAAAGUUUGGGUUGUAUUGCUGAGAGCUUAUUCCUCUUCCCCACCAAAUUAAAUUAAAAUAGGAUUUAAAGGGUGUGGAUACUUAGAUUAGUUGAGUGCCAUUUGUUGUAGAUUAUUAAUAUUUACUGUUGAUUAAUCUUUUAGUUAAGCAGUGGUUAUUCCUAAACAGCUGUAUAGCCAAAUCACCACACAGAGACUAGGAUUCAUUUAAUUAACCUAGAGCACAAUGCUGGCCAGCAGUUACUCCAUCUUUAACCUCUAAGCCCACACUUUCCUACCAAUCAGAUUCACCCAUCAUAUGGCUUUUAGUGAUAUCUUAGUUCCAGUUCAUUUCUACAUGUGGUGCCAAGACCUCUCCUUCAGAUUCUCCUCUUCUCCUCUCCUGCCUCCUUCCUCUUCCUCCUAAUCUGGACCAGGAUGUCUCACCCUAUCCUCUCUAUUGCUCAUUAUUUGGCUGGUUGUUUUAACUGACAAUAUAGAGAACAAAUGGUGGCAUGUUUAUGCAAACUUGACACAGGUGAUGCUUGUAAAAGUAUCACAAUGCAGUAUCUGGAUUGAAACCAGACAAUGGAGGAGAGAAAUCAGCAUUUGAAUAAACAAGGUUAAAUUGUAUACAUUCCAAAUAAAAGAACAUUAUACCAAUAUAA
Long non-coding RNA from Meriones unguiculatus (Mongolian gerbil), 7241 nucleotides. RefSeq lists it as uncharacterized. The transcript is spliced from 3 exons. The record is from RefSeq and is a predicted model, not a curated record. NCBI's taxonomy places the organism in Eukaryota, Metazoa, Chordata, Mammalia, Rodentia, Muridae.